ACCCAGACUCCUACGGGAGGCAGCAGUGGGGAAUAUUGGGCAAUGGGCGAAAGCCUGACCCAGCAACGCCGCGUGAAGGAAGAAGGCUUUCGGGUUGUAAACUUCUUUUGACAGGGAAGAGCAGAAGACGGUACCUGUCGAAUAAGCCACGGCUAACUACGUGCCAGCAGCCGCGGUAAUACGUAGGUGGCAAGCGUUAUCCGGAUUUACUGGGUGUAAAGGGCGUGUAGGCGGGACUGCAAGUCAGAUGUGAAAACCAUGGGCUCAACCUGUGGCCUGCAUUUGAAACUGUAGUUCUUGAGUACUGGAGAGGCAGACGGAAUUCCUAGUGUAGCGGUGAAAUGCGUAGAUAUUAGGAGGAACACCAGUGGCGAAGGCGGUCUGCUGGACAGCAACUGACGCUGAGGCGCGAAAGCGUGGGGAGCAAACAGGAUUAGAUACCCGUGUAGC
Molecule: ribosomal RNA, 450 nt
Filed under: uncultured bacterium
Lineage: Bacteria
Description: bacterial SSU rRNA
Rfam family: Bacterial small subunit ribosomal RNA
Source: RNAcentral